GCGUUGUUGGGUAGGGGAGCGUUCUGUAAGCCUGCGAAGGUGUGCUGUGAGGCAUGCUGGAGGUAUCAGAAGUGCGAAUGCUGACAUAAGUAACGAUAAAGCGGGUGAAAAGCCCGCUCGCCGGAAGACCAAGGGUUCCUGUCCAACGUUAAUCGGGGCAGGGUGAGUCGACCCCUAAGGCGAGGCCGAAAGGCGUAGUCGAUGGGAAACAGGUUAAUAUUCCUGUACUUGGUGUUACUGCGAAGGGGGGACGGAGAAGGCUAUGUUGGCCGGGCGACGGUUGUCCCGGUUUAAGCGUGUAGGCUGGUUUUCCAGGCAAAUCCGGAAAAUCAAGGCUGAGGCGUGAUGACGAGGCACUACGGUGCUGAAGCAACAAAUGCCCUGCUUCCAGGAAAAGCCUCUAAGCAUCAGGUAACAUCAAAUCGUACCCCAAACCGACACAGGUGGUCAGGUAGAGAAUACCAAGGCGCUUGAGAGAACUCGGGUGAAGGAACUAGGCAAAAUGGUGCCGUAACUUCGGGAGAAGGCACGCUGAUAUGUAGGUGAAGUCCCUUGCGGAUGGAGCUGAAAUCAGUCGAAGAUACCAGCUGGCUGCAACUGUUUAUUAAAAACACAGCACUGUGCAAACACGAAAGUGGACGUAUACGGUGUGACGCCUGCCCGGUGCCGGAAGGUUAAUUGAUGGGGUCAGCGCAAGCGAAGCUCUUGAUCGAAGCCCCGGUAAACGGCGGCCGUAACUAUAACGGUCCUAAGGUAGCGAAAUUCCUUGUCGGGUAAGUUCCGACCUGCACGAAUGGCGUAAUGAUGGCCAGGCUGUCUCCACCCGAGACUCAGUGAAAUUGAACUCGCUGUGAAGAUGCAGUGUACCCGCGGCAAGACGGAAAGACCCCGUGAACCUUUACUAUAGCUUGACACUGAACAUUGAGCCUUGAUGUGUAGGAUAGGUGGGAGGCUUUGAAGUGUGGACGCCAGUCUGCAUGGAGCCGGCCUUGAAAUACCACCCUUUAAUGUUUGAUGUUCUAACGUGGACCCGUGAUCCGGGUUGCGGACAGUGUCUGGUGGGUAGUUUGACUGGGGCGGUCUCCUCCUAAAGAGUAACGGAGGAGCACGAAGGUUGGCUAAUCCUGGUCGGACAUCAGGAGGUUAGUGCAAUGGCAUAAGCCAGCUUGACUGCGAGCGUGACGGCGCGAGCAGGUGCGAAAGCAGGUCAUAGUGAUCCGGUGGUUCUGAAUGGAAGGGCCAUCGCUCAACGGAUAAAAGGUACUCCGGGGAUAACAGGCUGAUACCGCCCAAGAGUUCAUAUCGACGGCGGUGUUUGGCACCUCGAUGUCGGCUCAUCACAUCCUGGGGCUGAAGUAGGUCCCAAGGGUAUGGCUGUUCGCCAUUUAAAGUGGUACGCGAGCUGGGUUUAGAACGUCGUGAGACAGUUCGGUCCCUAUCUGCCGUGGGCGCUGGAGAACUGAGGGGGGCUGCUCCUAGUACGAGAGGACCGGAGUGGACGCAUCACUGGUGUUCGGGUUGUCAUGCCAAUGGCACUGCCCGGUAGCUAAAUGCGGAAGAGAUAAGUGCUGAAAGCAUCUAAGCACGAAACUUGCCCCGAGAUGAGUUCUCCCUGACCCUUUAAGGGUCCUGAAGGAACGUUGAAGACGACGACGUUGAUAGGCCGGGUGUGUAAGCGCAGCGAUGCGUUGAGCUAACCGGUACUAAUGAACCGUGAGG
Molecule: ribosomal RNA, 1719 nt
Filed under: Shigella sonnei
Lineage: Bacteria; Pseudomonadati; Pseudomonadota; Gammaproteobacteria; Enterobacterales; Enterobacteriaceae
Description: partial 23S ribosomal RNA
Rfam family: Bacterial large subunit ribosomal RNA
Source: RNAcentral